Molecule: non-coding RNA, 107 nt
Organism: Capsicum annuum
Lineage: Eukaryota; Viridiplantae; Streptophyta; Magnoliopsida; Solanales; Solanaceae
Source: Rfam
UAUUGGUAAUGUGGACAAUCUUUAAGAAGAGAUUUGAAUCUCUCCCCUACGUGAUAGAGAUUCUUAUCUGUCUUUUGCUUGAAACUCAGGAUCUCACCCCUCAAACU